AGUGAACGCUGGCGGUAGGCCUAACACAUGCAAGUCGAACGGCAGCACAGUAAGAGCUUGCUCUUACGGGUGGCGAGUGGCGGACGGGUGAGGAAUACAUCGGAAUCUACUUUUUUGUGGGGGAUAACGUAGGUAAACUUACGCUAAUACCGCAUACGACCUACGGGUGAAAGCAGGGGAUCUUCGGACCUUGCGCGAUUGAAUGAGCCGAUGUCGGAUUAGCUAGUUGGCGGGGUAAAGGCCCACCAAGGCGACGAUCCGUAGCUGGUCUGAGAGGAUGAUCAGCCACACUGGAACUGAGACACGGUCCAGACUCCUACGGGAGGCAGCAGUGGGGAAUAUUGGACAAUGGGCGCAAGCCUGAUCCAGCCAUACCGCGUGGGUGAAGAAGGCCUUCGGGUUGUAAAGCCCUUUUGUUGGGAAAGAAAAGCAGCAGGUUAAUACCCCGCUGUUCUGACGGUACCCAAAGAAUAAGCACCGGCUAACUUCGUG
This 492-nucleotide ribosomal RNA is filed under the name uncultured bacterium. RNAcentral's name for it is "partial 16S ribosomal RNA". It matches the Rfam family "Bacterial small subunit ribosomal RNA", at positions 29 to 507 of the family's 1533-position model. The record is from RNAcentral.